Molecule: long non-coding RNA, 889 nt
Filed under: Eucalyptus grandis
Lineage: Eukaryota; Viridiplantae; Streptophyta; Magnoliopsida; Myrtales; Myrtaceae
Description: long non-coding RNA (EGRA_LNC000986)
Source: RNAcentral
UCACAACCGCACUUUCGUUCACUCAUGAAACACUUCUUAGAUGUCCUUCCUCCGCAACUCAUUUCGGACGGGGAUUAAUAGUUCCCCCAGUAUGGACUGGAGUACGAAGCCCACUCAAAAAUGCGAACAAAAUAGUCCAUUAUAUUUUGUGAGUGUCGCCAGGUGGCUUAGUCCCAAUGACUCCCCUACGAAUAUGAGACAAUAAUAGAGCAAAUCUGUCAAACGGUACUCCACCAAGAGCAGGUACUAUUUUAUCACAUAUGUGGAUUGAGUGGUUGAUUUACGACAUUUUGUAUAGAAGUUACGAAAAAAUGCAAACAGUUAUAACUCAUUAUGAUUCGAGAAUCUAUCAAUGAUCAUAGAACUGCUCAUGUACUCUGAGAAGAAAUUCGAUAAACCAUCCAACAUAAAAGUUAUUCAUUACAUCAAAUCUCCAACAUUAUACAGUAGAGUAAAUAAUUUAUCGCCUUGCAUCGUUCAAGUUUUGCACACAAACAUAAAUAGAAGCUUCCACAUUCAUAAGCAUAGAAUAAGAUAAGAAAAACUAUUGCAAUUUCUGUCUCAUUUUUAGCCUGAAUGCCCUGCAUUUUGCCCUAACGUAUACCUACAUCGAGGGCAAACCAAUGAGACAAUAAAUCGUGCUUCUCUAUACUUGCAUUCCGGACAAUAAACUGAGCUCGGGAUUGUUAUCGUGGAUGGAUCCUGCUUCUUCAGCGGCUCGGGUGGCUCGAGCGGCUCAGGUUGCGGCCUCUUGGGGGCUAGGACCAGGGUCAUUGUUUUCCAGAUUUUCUCCUCUCGCCUCCGAAUGUAGUAGAAAAAGAAACUGCAGAGCAUGACGAUGACAAUGACUACACCAAUAAUAACCCACAUCGGAGUUUUAUUGUCAUCG